AAUAUUGCACAAUGGGCGCAAGCCUGAUGCAGCAACGCCGCGUGAGGGAUGAAGGCCUUCGGGUUGUAAACCUCUUUUAGCAGGGAAGAAGCGAAAGUGACGGUACCUGCAGAAAAAGCACCGGCUAACUACGUGCCAGCAGCCGCGGUAAUACGUAGGGUGCAAGCGUUGUCCGGAAUUAUUGGGCGUAAAGAGCUCGUAGGCGGUUUGUCACGUCUGCUGUGAAAAUCCAAGGCUCAACCUUGGACUUGCAGUGGGUACGGGCAGGCUAGAGUGCGGUAGGGGAGAUGGGAAUUCCUGGUGUAGCGGUGGAAUGCGCAGAUAUCAGGAGGAACACCAAUGGCGAAGGCACAUCUCUGGGCCGUAACUGACGCUGAGGAGCGAAAGCGUGGGGAGCGAACAGGAUUAGAUACCCUGGUAG
RNAcentral lists this ribosomal RNA (421 nucleotides) under uncultured bacterium. RNAcentral's name for it is "bacterial SSU rRNA". It matches the Rfam family "Bacterial small subunit ribosomal RNA", at positions 360 to 793 of the family's 1533-position model. The record is from RNAcentral.